AUAGAUCAGUUGAGGACAAUCUAAAAUAGAUCAUCCGAGGUUGAGAAGUUCGGAAUCACUGCUUAUGAAAUGUCUGACUUUUUGUCAUAUCUGCAUCCUUGUCAGGAGUCCAUUGCCUAUAUCUCGGCAGGAACGAAAGAUGUCUCAGUUGAGGCUAAGGUACAGAUCCACAACAAAUGCCCUCUACUCUUGAGGUCGAGCUAUUCAUAGAUCGUUCGAAGAGAGUACCAAUCCGAGGUUGAGG
Molecule: long non-coding RNA, 244 nt
Filed under: Elaeis guineensis (African oil palm)
Lineage: Eukaryota; Viridiplantae; Streptophyta; Magnoliopsida; Arecales; Arecaceae
Description: long non-coding RNA (EGUI_LNC006342)
Source: RNAcentral